RNAcentral lists this ribosomal RNA (869 nucleotides) under Lactococcus lactis subsp. lactis. RNAcentral's name for it is "bacterial SSU rRNA". It matches the Rfam family "Bacterial small subunit ribosomal RNA", at positions 25 to 877 of the family's 1533-position model. The record is from RNAcentral. Lineage: Bacteria; Bacillati; Bacillota; Bacilli; Lactobacillales; Streptococcaceae.
UUAGACGAACGCUGGCGGCGUGCCUAAUACAUGCAAGUUGAGCGCUGAAGGUUGGUACUUGUACCGACUGGAUGAGCAGCGAACGGGUGAGUAACGCGUGGGGAAUCUGCCUUUGAGCGGGGGACAACAUUUGGAAACGAAUGCUAAUACCGCAUAAAAACUUUAAACACAAGUUUUAAGUUUGAAAGAUGCAAUUGCAUCACUCAAAGAUGAUCCCGCGUUGUAUUAGCUAGUUGGUGAGGUAAAGGCUCACCAAGGCGAUGAUACAUAGCCGACCUGAGAGGGUGAUCGGCCACAUUGGGACUGAGACACGGCCCAAACUCCUACGGGAGGCAGCAGUAGGGAAUCUUCGGCAAUGGACGAAAGUCUGACCGAGCAACGCCGCGUGAGUGAAGAAGGUUUUCGGAUCGUAAAACUCUGUUGGUAGAGAAGAACGUUGGUGAGAGUGGAAAGCUCAUCAAGUGACGGUAACUACCCAGAAAGGGACGGCUAACUACGUGCCAGCAGCCGCGGUAAUACGUAGGUCCCGAGCGUUGUCCGGAUUUAUUGGGCGUAAAGCGAGCGCAGGUGGUUUAUUAAGUCUGGUGUAAAAGGCAGUGGCUCAACCAUUGUAUGCAUUGGAAACUGGUAGACUUGAGUGCAGGAGAGGAGAGUGGAAUUCCAUGUGUAGCGGUGAAAUGCGUAGAUAUAUGGAGGAACACCGGUGGCGAAAGCGGCUCUCUGGCCUGUAACUGACACUGAGGCUCGAAAGCGUGGGGAGCAAACAGGAUUAGAUACCCUGGUAGUCCACGCCGUAAACGAUGAGUGCUAGAUGUAGGGAGCUAUAAGUUCUCUGUAUCGCAGCUAACGCAAUAAGCACUCCGCAUGGG